UAGAGUUUGACCCUGGCUCAGAUUGAACGCUGGCGGCAGGCCUAACACAUGCAAGUCGAGCGGUAGCACAAGAAAGCUUGCUCUCUGGGUGACGAGCGGCGGACGGGUGAGUAAUGUCUGGGAAACUGCCUGAUGGCGGGGGAUAACUAGUGGAAACGGUAUCUAAUACCGCAUAACGUCGCAAGACCAAAGUGGGGGACCUUCGGGCCUCACGCCAUCAGAUGUGCCCAGGUGGGAUUAGCUGGUAGGUGGGGUAACGGCUCACCUAGGCGACGAUCCCUAGCUGGUCUGAGAGGAUGACCAGCCACACUGGAACUGAGACACGGUCCAGACUCCUACGGGAGGCAGCAGUGGGGAAUAUUGCACAAUGGGCGCAAGCCUGAUGCAGCCAUGCCGCGUGUGUGAAGAAGGCCUUCGGGUUGUAAAGCACUUUCAGCGAGGAGGAAGGGUAAUGUGUUAAUAAGACAUUGC
RNAcentral lists this ribosomal RNA (471 nucleotides) under Serratia symbiotica. RNAcentral's name for it is "bacterial SSU rRNA". It matches the Rfam family "Bacterial small subunit ribosomal RNA", at positions 1 to 478 of the family's 1533-position model. Lineage: Bacteria; Pseudomonadati; Pseudomonadota; Gammaproteobacteria; Enterobacterales; Yersiniaceae. The record is from RNAcentral.